AGGAUUAACGCUGGCGGCGUGCCUAACACAUGCAAGUCGAACGAGGUAGCAAUACCUAGUGGCAGACGGGUGAGUAGCGCGUGGUCAACCUACCGUUGAGUGGGGGAUAACUAGCCGAAAGGUUAGCUAAUACCGCAUACGUCUCCGAGGGGCAUCCCUUGGUGAUAAAAGGAGCAAUCCGCUCGAUGACGGGACCGCGUCCCAUUAGCUAGUUGGUGGGGUAACGGCCUACCAAGGCAUCGAUGGGUAGCUGGUUUGAGAGAGCGACCAGCCACACUGGGACUGAGAUACGGCCCAGACUCCUACGGGAGGCAGCAGUGAGGAAUUUUCCGCAAUGGGCGAAAGCCUGACGGAGCGACGCCGCGUGUGGGAAGAAGGCCUUCGGGUCGUAAACCACUGUCGAAGGGGAAGAUAAUGACGGUACCCUUGGAGGAAGCCCCGGCUAACUACGUGCCAGCAGCCGC
Molecule: ribosomal RNA, 464 nt
Filed under: uncultured bacterium
Lineage: Bacteria
Description: SSU rRNA
Rfam family: Bacterial small subunit ribosomal RNA
Source: RNAcentral